AGAGUAGACUGAAUAGUCGCGUGAUUUUUCACGAGGAAAGUCCGAGCUCCACAGGGCAGGAAUGCCAGAUAACAUCUGGUGGAGGCGACUCCAAGGAUAGUGCAACAGAGAGAUACCGCCGUAAAGGCAAGGGUGGAAAGGUGGGGUAAGAGCCCACCAGCGGUUCGGAGACGGGCCGGCUAUGUAAACCCCAUUCGGAGCAAGACCAAAAAGGGGCCGAAGAAGAGGUUGCCCGCCUCUGCUCCAAAGGUAGGUCGCUUGAGGCUGCCGGCGACGGCAGUCCCAGAUAGAUGACUAUUUUCAAUGACAGAACUCGGCUUACAGGUCUACUCUUUUU
RNAcentral lists this RNase P RNA (337 nucleotides) under Peptostreptococcaceae bacterium. RNAcentral's name for it is "RNase P RNA component class A". It matches the Rfam family "Bacterial RNase P class A". Rfam says of the family: Ribonuclease P (RNase P) is a ubiquitous endoribonuclease, found in archaea, bacteria and eukarya as well as chloroplasts and mitochondria. Its best characterised activity is the generation of mature 5'-ends of tRNAs by cleaving the 5'-leader elements of precursor-tRNAs. Lineage: Bacteria; Bacillati; Bacillota; Clostridia; Peptostreptococcales; Peptostreptococcaceae. The record is from RNAcentral.